GACAAACGCUGGCGGCGUGCCUAACACAUGCAAGUCGAACGAGUAAAGCCCUUUCGGGGGUGUAUAGAGUGGCGUACGGGUGAGUAACACGUGGGUAAUCUACCUUUGGGUGGGGAAUAACUCAGGGAAACUUGAGCUAAUACCGCAUAAUGCAGCGGCUCGACAUCGAGCGGUUGUUAAAGAUUUAUCGCCUGAAGAGGAGCCCGCGCCUGAUUAGCUAGUUGGUAGGGUAAUGGCCUACCAAGGCUGCGAUCAGUAGCUGGUCUGAGAGGACGGC
RNAcentral lists this ribosomal RNA (277 nucleotides) under uncultured bacterium. RNAcentral describes it as "partial 16S ribosomal RNA". It matches the Rfam family "Bacterial small subunit ribosomal RNA", at positions 28 to 304 of the family's 1533-position model. The record is from RNAcentral.